AUGAUCUGGAGCUCACUCUCGGGAGCUCAAGAACCAGGUGACUUGGCAUGAACAUUUGAUCAAAUAGAUCAAAUGGACAAUGGAUUGCAAAAAUGAGAAGUUCCAAUGGUCUUCUUAGGCAAAUAUGAGUUCCAUGUUGUACUUUCUGAAGAAAAAAUUUUAUAAAGGAGAUCAAGGUGGGCACCAGCAACUGCUCUCUUUUUAAAGUCCUUUUCCUUUCUGUUUUACCAUAUGGAUGGUUUUCAAAAUGAAGGGUAGUUUCACAACCCUUUCAUUAGCCUCUAUGUA
RNAcentral lists this unclassified non-coding RNA (288 nucleotides) under Hevea brasiliensis (rubber tree). Lineage: Eukaryota; Viridiplantae; Streptophyta; Magnoliopsida; Malpighiales; Euphorbiaceae. The record is from RNAcentral.